UAGGAAGUGUUGCAUUUAUUAUUUCCAUUU
RNAcentral lists this non-coding RNA (30 nucleotides) under Mus musculus (house mouse). The record is from RNAcentral. Lineage: Eukaryota; Metazoa; Chordata; Mammalia; Rodentia; Muridae.